Molecule: long non-coding RNA, 1465 nt
Organism: Peromyscus californicus insignis
Lineage: Eukaryota; Metazoa; Chordata; Mammalia; Rodentia; Cricetidae
Exons: 3
Source: RefSeq, a predicted model, not a curated record
UCCAACUGACAAUCGAGGGCCCAUCAUCCCUGGUGAGAAGAUCUCCAGGAAAACCCAUUCUAAGAUAUGAGGACCAAAGCCACCCCGGGCAACCUCUCCUAGCAAGCCUUGUCCCCCGCAGCCGUGGUGGGUGCUCCUCUGGCUUCAAAGUUAGACUUGAACAGUACUACAUCCUAUUCUCUGAACUGCUUCAAUUUUUUUUUUCCCUUCAAGACAAACAGCCGCAAAGCUCCGUCUCCUAAUGAAACUGUUCGAUGUUAAUUAAUUAUACAGCUGCCUCAUUUGCAUGCACAGGCUGUAGCUUCCGGGCUUCCCUCCCCCAUCCUCUGCCAGGAGUAGGCUUGCACCCUUGGGGAAAAGCUGGAGACUCGGUACCAUAGAAAUCAAAUCUACUCUCGGAACAUUACAGAUUUACUAUCUUGGAGCAGAUUCAUAACAAGGAAGACAAAGGAUGCGAAACUGCAGCAAGUGACACAGAACGGUGACAGCGUGAACGUGGCCACAGCACUGGGAGGAGGGACUUCUCGAAGUCCACCCUGCAAGGGACAGCAAGGCCAGGGUGGUGAGUGCUGGGGUGUGCGAGUUACACCUCCCAUCACGGUGACCAAAUACCCAAUGAAAGCAGCGGGACGGAAAGGAGGAUUUGUUUCAACCGUGGCUUGAAGAGCUGCAGUCCCUCGUGGUGGCCCCAAAUCAACAGAGCCUACUGACUAUGACUGAGACUUCUGAAACAGUGACCCCAAAUAAGCCAUUGCCUCUCGUAUAGCUUGGGUAUGUUGUCACAGCAACACAAGUUUCCUGACACACACUCAAGUUAUUCCUCACUGCUUCCAGCAGAGUAGCUGUUUGAAAGACAGUUGGGUCCUCCUCCUCAACUUUAAGCUCUGCUUGCAAAUGUUCCUAACAGACCUGCUACUCCUCCAAGCACUGAUUCUAAUUCCUGCUGGUCUAUACUCAGUCCAUCUGGAAAGCUUCCCAGAAGAACAUGAUUAGGGCCAGCAGUUGGGCUGCCUCACAGGUGUCUGGCACACAUCAACUCAUGAGACCCUAAGAGGCAGGUAGGCCUUCUAGUGGUCCUUGCUUUAUGGAUGGGGAAAUCAAGGCUCAGAGAAGUGAGCAAAUUGACCAGCCCUACAUGGCUGCUCAGUGCAAAUGACUCGAGUCAAGGAAGUGGAAAGGAGAACAUCUCAGCGGCCUCCUCAGGCCUGGACUACACUCAGGAGUUUGCGGAUCAGCAGGAUACUGUGACACACACAUCUGUAACCCCAGCACUCAGGAGUGGAAGGUAGGAGGGUCUUGAGAUCAUGAGUUUGAGGCCAGGUUUGGCCACAUAGUGAGUCCAUUCUUAGAAAAAAAGAAAAGAAAAAGGAAUUUACAGAUUAAUCCAAAUGAAUUCAUUACUUAAUCACAUUUACCAUUUGUCCUCCUUCUAAUGCCUGGGUUCCAGGAGGCCAAAUUUUUUGCC